Molecule: ribosomal RNA, 1369 nt
Filed under: uncultured bacterium
Lineage: Bacteria
Description: bacterial SSU rRNA
Rfam family: Bacterial small subunit ribosomal RNA
Source: RNAcentral
GACGAACGCUGGCGGCGUGCCUAAUACAUGCAAGUAGAACGCUGAAGAGAGGAGCUUGCUCUUCUUGGAUGAGUUGCGAACGGGUGAGUAACGCGUAGGUAACCUGCCUUGUAGCGGGGGAUAACUAUUGGAAACGAUAGCUAAUACCGCAUAACAAUGGAUGACACAUGUCAUUUAUUUGAAAGGGGCAAUUGUUCCACUACAAGAUGGACCUGCGUUGUAUUAGCUAGUAGGUGAGGUAAUGGCUCACCUAGGCGACGAUACAUAGCCGACCUGAGAGGGUGAUCGGCCACACUGGGACUGAGACACGGCCCAGACUCCUACGGGAGGCAGCAGUAGGGAAUCUUCGGCAAUGGGGGCAACCCUGACCGAGCAACGCCGCGUGAGUGAAGAAGGUUUUCGGAUCGUAAAGCUCUGUUGUAAGUCAAGAACGGGUGUGAGAGUGGAAAGUUCACACUGUGACGGUAGCUUACCAGAAAGGGACGGCUAACUACGUGCCAGCAGCCGCGGUAAUACGUAGGUCCCGAGCGUUGUCCGGAUUUAUUGGGCGUAAAGCGAGCGCAGGCGGUUUGAUAAGUCUGAAGUUAAAGGCUGUGGCUCAACCAUAGUUCGCUUUGGAAACUGUCAAACUUGAGUGCAGAAGGGGAGAGUGGAAUUCCAUGUGUAGCGGUGAAAUGCGUAGAUAUAUGGAGGAACACCGGUGGCGAAAGCGGCUCUCUGGUCUGUAACUGACGCUGAGGCUCGAAAGCGUGGGGAGCGAACAGGAUUAGAUACCCUGGUAGUCCACGCCGUAAACGAUGAGUGCUAGGUGUUGGAUCCUUUCCGGGAUUCAGUGCCGCAGCUAACGCAUUAAGCACUCCGCCUGGGGAGUACGACCGCAAGGUUGAAACUCAAAGGAAUUGACGGGGGCCCGCACAAGCGGUGGAGCAUGUGGUUUAAUUCGAAGCAACGCGAAGAACCUUACCAGGUCUUGACAUCCCGAUGCUAUUUCUAGAGAUAGAAAGUUACUUCGGUACAUCGGUGACAGGUGGUGCAUGGUUGUCGUCAGCUCGUGUCGUGAGAUGUUGGGUUAAGUCCCGCAACGAGCGCAACCCCUAUUGUUAGUUGCCAUCAUUCAGUUGGGCACUCUAGCGAGACUGCCGGUAAUAAACCGGAGGAAGGUGGGGAUGACGUCAAAUCAUCAUGCCCCUUAUGACCUGGGCUACACACGUGCUACAAUGGCUGGUACAACGAGUUGCGAGUCGGUGACGGCGAGCUAAUCUCUUAAAGCCAAUCUCAGUUCGGAUUGUAGGCUGCAACUCGCCUACAUGAAGUCGGAAUCGCUAGUAAUCGCGGAUCAGCACGCCGCGGUGAAUACGUUCCCGGGCCU